CAAGUUAAUAUUUUAGGAAUAUUGUUAUUUACAAUAAUAAUUAAGAAUGUGCAAUUCAUUCUAACUUGA
RNAcentral lists this transfer RNA (69 nucleotides) under Helcomeria spinosa. Its description in RNAcentral is "tRNA-Val". Lineage: Eukaryota; Metazoa; Arthropoda; Insecta; Hemiptera; Coreidae. The record is from RNAcentral.